This 640-nucleotide ribosomal RNA is filed under the name uncultured Alteromonas sp. RNAcentral's name for it is "bacterial SSU rRNA". It matches the Rfam family "Bacterial small subunit ribosomal RNA", at positions 69 to 708 of the family's 1533-position model. Lineage: Bacteria; Pseudomonadati; Pseudomonadota; Gammaproteobacteria; Alteromonadales; Alteromonadaceae. The record is from RNAcentral.
ACAUUUCUAGCUUGCUAGAAGAUGACGAGUGGCGGACGGGUGCAGUAAUGCUUGGGAACUCGCCUUUGCGAGGGGGAUAACAGUUGGAAACGACUGCUAAUACCGCAUAAUGUCUUCGGACCAAACGGGGCUUCGGCUCCGGCGCAAAGAGAGGCCCAAGUGAGAUUAGCUAGUUGGUAAGGUAAAGGCUUACCAAGGCGACGAUCUCUAGCUGUUCUGAGAGGAAGAUCAGCCACACUGGGACUGAGACACGGCCCAGACUCCUACGGGAGGCAGCAGUGGGGAAUAUUGCACAAUGGGGGAAACCCUGAUGCAGCCAUGCCGCGUGUGUGAAGAAGGCCUUCGGGUUGUAAAGCACUUUCAGUUGUGAGGAAAAGUUAGUAGUUAAUACCUGCUAGCCGUGACGUUAACAACAGAAGAAGCACCGGCUAACUCCGUGCCAGCAGCCGCGGUAAUACGGAGGGUGCGAGCGUUAAUCGGAAUUACUGGGCGUAAAGCGCACGCAGGCGGUUUGUUAAGCUAGAUGUGAAAGCCCCGGGCUCAACCUGGGAUGGUCAUUUAGAACUGGCAGACUAGAGUCUUGGAGAGGGGAGUGGAAUUCCAGGUGUAGCGGUGAAAUGCGUAGAUAUCUGGAGGAACA